This 492-nucleotide ribosomal RNA is filed under the name uncultured bacterium. RNAcentral describes it as "partial 16S ribosomal RNA". It matches the Rfam family "Bacterial small subunit ribosomal RNA", at positions 29 to 507 of the family's 1533-position model. The record is from RNAcentral.
AGUGAACGCUGGCGGUAGGCCUAACACAUGCAAGUCGAACGGCAGCACAGUAAGAGCUUGCUCUUACGGGUGGCGAGUGGCGGACGGGUGAGGAAUACAUCGGAAUCUACUUUUUCGUGGGGGAUAACGUAGGGAAACUUACGCUAAUACCGCAUACGACCUACGGGUGAAAGCAGGGGAUCUUCGGACCUUGCGCGUUUGAAUGAGCCGAUGUCGGAUUAGCUAGUUGGCGGGGUACAGGCCCACCAAGGCGACGAUCCGUAGCUGGUCUGAGAGGAUGAGCAGACACACGGGAACUGAGACACGGACAAGAAGCCUACGGGAGGCAGCAGUGGGGAAUAUUGGACAAUGGGGGAAAGCCUGAUACAGACAGACCGCGUGGGAGAAGAAGGCGUUCGGGUUGUAAAGCCCUUUUGUUGGGAAAGAAAAGCAGCAGGUUAAUACCACGCUGGUGUGACGGUACCCAAAGAAUAAGCACCGGCUAACUUCGUG